UGGGGAAUAUUGCACAAUGGGGGAAACCCUGAUGCAGCCAUGCCGUGUGUGUGAAGAAGGCCUUCGGGUUGUAAAGCACUUUCAGUAGGGAGGAAAGGGUAAGGUUUAAUACGCCUUAUCUGUGACGUUACCUACAGAAGAAGGACCGGCUAACUCCGUGCCAGCAGCCGCGGUAAUACGGAGGGUCCGAGCGUUAAUCGGAAUUACUGGGCGUAAAGCGUGCGCAGGCGGUUUGUUAAGCGAGAUGUGAAAGCCCUGGGCUCAACCUAGGAAUAGCAUUUCGAACUGGCGAACUAGAGUCUUGUAGAGGGGGGUAGAAUUCCAGGUGUAGCGGUGAAAUGCGUAGAGAUCUGGAGGAAUACCGAUGGCGAAGGCAGCCAUCUGGCCUAAUACUGACGCUGAGGUACGAAAGCAUGGGGAGCAAACAG
Molecule: ribosomal RNA, 428 nt
Filed under: uncultured Shewanella sp.
Lineage: Bacteria; Pseudomonadati; Pseudomonadota; Gammaproteobacteria; Alteromonadales; Shewanellaceae
Description: bacterial SSU rRNA
Rfam family: Bacterial small subunit ribosomal RNA
Source: RNAcentral